GUACACUCUUGUUCGUAUUGUGGAGCCAAUUGGGCAUUUGAGAGAUCUUUGGGUGCUUAUAAGGAGUGAUAAUAUUAAUCAGUUUCUUUGUCACCUUUGUUUUUUUUAAUCAGCAAAAAAAUUAUAUAUUACCGGUACCAAAGGUACCAUCCUUCAAUUCCAUAAAAAGAUCCGUAUUGGUUAAUUAAUAUUGCUUCCCGUGAUUGAAUAGUAAUACUUAUUAACCAGUAGUUUAAAUUAAAACAAUUCCCAUAAAAAAAUCUCUUUACUCUACCACAGUUUUGCAGAUAAGCACACCCUCACCAAUAUUUCAUAGCCCACUUUGUUUCUAAAUUAUCCACUUUCAUGCACGGACGCUUCCACAAUUCAAUUGCUGGAAAUACUCGAAGAUUGACUUUGCACAUGAAUAGCUUUUAGUUCCUUAUGCAAUCACUGGGACAGACAAACCAUUGAUCGCAUGAACAAUCGAAUCCUCCUGUAUCCAAGCUUUUUAACCACGUUCAAAUAUGAAAUUGUGCUUCUUGAAUGAACUUUUGCUUGUCAAAGUUAGAACCCUUCAAAAUGAUAUUGUUCCUAGCUUUCCAUAGUGACCACACAACACCAAUACAAACACAAAUCCAUCUCUCACUCACUUUUUUCCUCUCAUUUAUAAGAACAUAUAUGUUGAAAAAAUGUUCCCUAAUAGAUAUGGGAAACACACCUUACACACCACACCACUCAUAACACAAUUGCCACACUUUCAAAGCAUGACUACACUAAAAUAAGAAAUAUAGUCAGGAUUCCUCUUCCCUUUUACAAAAGGGACAAAGCCAAGCUCCUCCACAUUUCUUUUUAAAAUCCAUCAGUAGAUUAAUAUAUAUACAUAUAUUACUUUUGUUAAAAAUAUAACAAUUGUUGUGCCUUGCUUUAGUGGUGGGUGAGUGCUGGCUUUGUAGGUGCUAGUCCUGUGUUGGAACCUGGAUUGACUCUACUAUUUCCUUUUUUUUUUAUAAGAUUUUAGUUAGCAACCCAU
Molecule: long non-coding RNA, 1012 nt
Filed under: Glycine max (soybean)
Lineage: Eukaryota; Viridiplantae; Streptophyta; Magnoliopsida; Fabales; Fabaceae
Description: long non-coding RNA (GMAX_LNC001757)
Source: RNAcentral